UACGUAGGGUGCAAGCGUUGUCCGGAAUUAUUGGGCGUAAAGAGCUCGUAGGCGGUCUGUCGCGUCGGAUGUGAAAAUCCAGGGCUCAACCCUGGACCUGCAUUCGAUACGGGCAGACUAGAGUUCGGUAGGGGAGACUGGAAUUCCUGGUGUAGCGGUGAAAUGCGCAGAUAUCAGGAGGAACACCGGUGGCGAAGGCGGCAUCCUGGACCGAUAUUGACGCUGAUGCGCGAAAGCCAGGGGAGCAAACGGG
Molecule: ribosomal RNA, 253 nt
Filed under: uncultured bacterium
Lineage: Bacteria
Description: partial 16S ribosomal RNA
Rfam family: Bacterial small subunit ribosomal RNA
Source: RNAcentral